RNAcentral lists this ribosomal RNA (1792 nucleotides) under freshwater metagenome. RNAcentral describes it as "bacterial LSU rRNA". It matches the Rfam family "Bacterial large subunit ribosomal RNA", at positions 200 to 1998 of the family's 2925-position model. The record is from RNAcentral.
AUCUAAGUACCCGGAGGAAAAGAAAACAAUUUAGUGAUUUCCCAAGUAGUGGCGAGCGAAAAGGAAAUAGCCCAAACCCCGGCGGUUACGGCCGACGGGGGGUUGUAGGACCGGUUUUUAAACAAUCAACCGAAGCAUAAGAGUUCUGGAAAGUGCUACCAUAGAGGGUGAUAGUCCCGUUUGCGUAAGUUUGAUUGUUGUACCGGUAUCCUGAGUACUGCGAGGUCGGAGACGCCUUGUAGGAAUCUGCCAGCACCAUCUGGUAAGGCUAAAUACUCUCAAGAGACCGAUAGUGAACUAGUACUGUGAAGGAAAGGUGAAAAGAACCGCGAACAGCGGAGUGAAAUAGAACCUGAAACCAUGCGCUUACAAGCGGUCGGAGCCCUUCGGGGUGACGGCGUGCCUUUUGCAUAAUGAGCCUACGAGUUACUCUUCACUGGCAAGGUUAAUCCCGUUGACGGGAGGAGCCGAAGCGAAAGCGAGUCUGAAUAGGGCGCAUAGUCAGUGGAGGUAGACGCGAAACCUUGUGAUCUACCCUUGGCCAGGUUGAAGUCUCGGUAACACGAGAUGGAGGACCGAACUGGUAAACGUUGAAAAGUUUUCGGAUGAGCUGAGGGUAGGGGUGAAAGGCUAAUCAAACUGGGAAAUAGCUCGUACUCCCCGAAAUGUUUUUAGGAACAGCCUCGAGGUUGAGUAUUACAGAGGUAGAGCUACCGAUUGGACUAGGGGGCUUCACCGCCUACCAAAUCCUGACGAACUCCGAAUACUGUAAUAUAUACUCGGGAGUGAGCCCAUGGGUGCUAAGGUCCUUGGGCGAGAGGGAAAGAACCCAGACCAACAGCUAAGGUCCCCAAAUGUAUGUUAAGUUGAUCUAACGUGGUCCGAUUGCAUUGACAGCUAGGAUGUUUGCUUGGAAGCAGCAAUUCAUUUAAAGAGUGCGUAACAGCUCACUAGUCGAGCGAUUGGGCGUGGAUAAUACUCGGGCAUUAAACAUACUACCGAAGCUUUGGACAUAGUAAUAUGUGGUAGGGGAGCAUUCCAACAACACUGAAGGUAUGGCUUGAGCCGUGCUGGAGAUGUUGGAAAAGCAAAUGUAGGCAUAAGUAACGAUAAUGCAGGCGAGAAACCUGCACACCGAAAACCCAAGGUUUCCUGAUCAACGCUAAUCGGAUCAGGGUUAGUCGGGGCCUAACACGUAUCCGAACGGAGAAGUGGAUGGACAACAGGUUAAUAUUCCUGUACCGGUACAGAAUGCGAUGUAGAGACGAAGUAGUGAAAGAUCUGCGCACUGACGGAUUAGUGCGUUAAAGGGUGUAGGUAUAGAUUUGGUAGGUAAAUCCGCCAAGUCUGCCGAACCUGACAGUACCGCGAGUCUUCGGACAAGCGGAUAAUGAUCCUAAACAGACUUCCAAGAAAAUCUGCUAAGCUUCAGUUUUGUACCGCCCGUACCGUAAACCGACACAGGUGGGUGGGAAGAAUAUUCUAAGGUGCUCGAGUGAGUCACGGCUAAGGAACUAGGCAAAAUGACCCUGUAACUUCGGAAGAAAGGGUACCCGUCGAAAGGCGGGUCGCAGAGAAAUGGUCCAGGCAACUGUUUAUCAAAAACACAUGGCUAUGCUAAAUCGAAAGAUGAUGUAUAUGGCCUGACACCUGCCCGGUGCCGGAAGGUUAAAAGGAGAUGUCAGUCGCAAGGCGAAGCAUUGAAUUGAAGCCCCGGUAAACGGCGGCCGUAACUAUAACGGUCCUAAGGUAGCGAAAUUCCUUGUCGGGUAAGUUCCGACCUGCACGAAUG